AAUAGAUACCCAGGUAGUCCACGCCGUAAACGAUGAGUGCUAAGUGUUAGAGGGUUUCCGCCCUUUAGUGCUGAAGUUAACGCAUUAAGCACUCCGCCUGGGGAGUACGGCCGCAAGGCUGAAACUCAAAGGAAUUGACGGGGGCCCGCACAAGCGGUGGGGCAUGUGGUUUAAUUCGAAGCAACGCGAAGAACCUUACCAGGUCUUGACAUCCUCUGACAACCCUAGAGAUAGGGCUUCUCCUUCGGGAGCAGAGUGACAGGUGGUGCAUGGUUGUCGUCAGCUCGUGUCGUGAGAUGUUGGGUUAAGUCCCGCAACGAGCGCAACCCUUGAUCUUAGUUGCCAUCAUUCAGUUGGGCACUCUAAGGUGACUGCCGGCGACAAACCGGAGGAAGGUGGGGAUGACGUCAAAUCAUCAUGCCCCUUAUGACCUGGGCUACACACGUGCUACAAUGGACGGUACAAAGAGCUGCAAGACCGCGAGGUGGAGCUAAUCUCAUAAAACCGUUCUCAGUUCGGA
Molecule: ribosomal RNA, 520 nt
Filed under: uncultured bacterium
Lineage: Bacteria
Description: bacterial SSU rRNA
Rfam family: Bacterial small subunit ribosomal RNA
Source: RNAcentral